GGCGUUCGGGGCGCUCGCUCCCUUCCCUCAAGCUGCGGGCAGAAGCAGGAGAAGUUGGGGAGGGGGGCGCGCGGCAGGUCGGCCAAUGGGGACGCACGGGGGUCGUAAUGGGGUCCCCGGAGAAUGGGGGCUCUGAGGCGGGAGAGUAGAGAAGGAGAGGAAGCGAGAGGCAACGCGACCGCUGAUUGGGCCGUUUGAAUGAGACGCCUCCUCCGCCCGGCGUACGCGCGCGUGCCCUGACGCCCAGGAAAUCGCGCACGCGAGUAACGGUCGGCCGCGGAGCCGGGGAGGGGCAUGGGAGGGCGGGACUCGGGGGGGUUUAAACGGAUGACGGAAGGCUCCCUGGCUAAUGGGGACACGUAAUGGUGGAAUGGCGUCACGGGGCUCGUAAGCGCCAGUCCUUGACGGAGAAGGCGGUGCCAGGGGGCGGGAAGGAGUGGAGAGUAACCAAUGGGAACCUUGUCUAGGUCGGGCCAAGCCGUUCGUAGCCAACGAAGUUCGUCGGUUUUGUAUAUGCAAAUUAGGUGUGCGCGGCCGUCCGCGCCCGCUCCUCAGCCCGCGGUGGGGAUGGGCGCUAGGAGUCGGCUGCAUUUUUCUACGAGGCGCCAUUUUGUGCGGGCACUGCCCCGUGACCCGUGUCGUGUGUCGCGGGCGGGGCAGGAGCAGGUUGCACGGCCUUGAGGGCUUGGCCGUCUGUGGCCUGUGACUCUGGCCAGGUGGCAAUCACGACGUCGGGUUUCUGUUUCCCCACACGGGAGGCGGGCGCCGGGCUCCCUCGGGAUGUGCCGGAAGGAGGUCGGGGCCUGGCGCUGCCCGCCAGUGGUCCUGUCUCCACCCUGUAGCCCCGCGGCGGUGUCCCCGUGUCCCCGACGGAUCUCGCCACCCUGCAGCCCCGCGCCGGGGAAUGGUGUCCCCUUGUCCUCGCCGUGUCCCGGGCACCGGCCUCGGCCUCCCAUCCCUGCCCGCCACGCGUCCCGGGAAGACCCCUGAGCCGCCUCCCUCGUGCAUGCGGCCCGAGCUCCAGCAGCAGGGACCCCACUGUUGUGGUCGUAAGCAGCACCCAUGGAGGAUCCGCCGCGUACUGGCGAGCCCCACCUGGCCCUCAGUCCCAGCCAGCCGGUUGCAGGGGACUCUGACCCGAGGGGCGCUCAAGGACACUGAGGGAAGAAGCAGGGGCCUCGCCCAGGUUCCCCCCACCCCCACCCCCCACCCCCCAAGCAGAGACAAGGUCGAGGUGGUAUGGUAGUCAAGCCCGGCCCUGCUGCAAGAAUGCAUCCAAAAGACACAACCGUGCCGAUAGUGACGGUCAUGAUGCAGCCCCUGCGAGCUGCGCGCCAGGCACUGCCCUCGUUCCAUUGCAGACGGCAGCCCUGUCGGGUGGGAGCGCGAUGUGCACGCACGAAGCUUUUGGAAUAGGCGGAGGGUAACAAGGGGCAAAACCCCUGGCAGCGUGGGGCUGACGCUCUCCUGGGGGUGCCAGGCAGGCAAGCAAAUAUAUAAUGUGCUGUGGGAGUGUCAUAAAGACCGAAGGAGGGAAUAUCAGGGCCUGCGCUGGGAGGGGGGGGGAGACAGGGAGUGAUGGGGUGGGGGGAACCUUUAGAGAAAGGGAAGAGGCAGGUCUCGGGUCCAGGCCGCAGUGAACAGUGUGUUCUUUCCUUCGAUCAAGGAGGAGCCGCGGGAGGCUCUGAGCCGAGCGCGACUCCGUCUGACUUCUGGUAGAGAACAGAGAGGCCGAGGAGGAAGUGCUGGCAGCCAUGGAGGUGGGGAUGAAGACCGUGCUGAGCAGACCUGCAGCCUGCAGAACCAGGAGGUGGCACAUUUCUGUUGCGUGAGCUGCUCGGUUCAGCGGCCCCAGCAAACCAACAGCACAGAGCACCCCGCUUCGGCCAGACUCAGCCAAAGGCCUCAGGUAGAAGGAGGUGCAAACACAGGCUUAAAUGCACAGAGGGAAGAGGCUUUCUUUGGAAGAAACCGAGGACUUUUCAAGGUGCUGUACCGGUCCCUCCCACACCCAGCUCCUUGCUUGGUGACAGACUGGGGGGGGGGGGGGGCGGGCAGCCCUGACCACCGGACUCUUAGAUGCCCACCCCCGCCUUGGCCAGUGACACAAACGCAGAGGUGGAAACCCAUUUCUUCUCGACAGUAAACCUUGAGACUGGGGCUCAGGAAACAUCUGUUUAUUCCAAAAAAUACCAAGUUACCACUCCACCGCUGUCCUCACCAAGGAACUGGGGGGGAGGGGGGGUCUGGUGUAGAGCCCGGGAGGGGCAGGGAUAAAAAGGUGUCCAGCACUGUCUGGUCCAGAAUUGUCUUCUCUCUGCACCCCUCCCCUUGCCCCCUCCACCAGAAGUGGGGGGUGGGGGAAAUGUGUGAGUGUGCGCGCAUGCGCAUUUAUCAGGGGCGGAAGACUCAGAUGGCGAGGUCCCGGCUCCGUAAGCAUCGAGGGUGACCGGGCAGGACAGGGCUGCUUCCUCACCCCCUUGAGACCUCUCCCCACUAUGGCUUAUUUGAGAUAAGAGGUCAAGGCCCCGAGGUCAGGCGGCCUGUGGCAGAGUGAGUGCGGGGAAGGGGGAAUGAGAUUCCUGGAAUCCAGGCCAGGAGAGAGCAAGUUGAGGUGUGUGGGGGCGUGUACAAAAGCUGAAAGAUCCCAAACCCCCAAAUUCUGGGGACUGGAGAAAGCUGGGUGCUCAGUGGGGAAGGUGAGCAGAGGGUGUGCAAGGGGGGCAGGUGCCCAAGCUGGCUCCUUUCUUGGGAAGUCACAGUCUGCCUGAGGGGCGCUGGGCGCGGUGAGGCCCUAGGAGGGAUUGGAGGAACCCAGAGGAGCAGCCAUAAGCAUGGAGUCAAAAAACUGGCACUGGGGCCCAGGUAGAUGGGGUUGGCUCCCCAGUUCCCCCGGUGUGGUGGGAGCUGAGGGCCAGUUCUCUGCCCCAGGGUCCUGACGGGAAGGGAUGAGCUGAGGUGCCAGUAUUGGGGGGGGGGGGAGAGAAGAGGGAGAGGGACGGCCCAGAGAAGGGAGAAGAGGCCCCCUCGCCUUGCCUUGGGGGCUGGGGAGGGGGUAUGUAGCCCUUUAAAAGUGGGGGAAUGGCCGCCCCCCAGCAACAUGGCUAUAUACAAAGGGAAUUGGGGCAGAUUGUGCAUUGGGUGUUGAGGAAUCCCCAAAACCCCUGGAGGCUCCCUGGUGUGUGAGGGGGAGGGAGGGGGAAGACACUACCUCUCCGUCGUCUUGAGAUGAUGCAGAUCACCACCCCACCAUGGCACUGGCAGUGGCUGUGGCCCUCAGGAUGGGCCUGCUCCACGAUCAGGCCAGCAGAAGACAUGAUUGAAGGCCCCAGAGAGGCCACAGCUGCCCACCCAGCCCAUGGGGUCAAGUCUGGCCCAAGCCAAUGGAGUGCUGUUUUGGAUAGGGGUCCAGGUAACAGGGGCAGUGAUAUCACCUGAGACCUGUAAAGCCCCCCACACAUACACACUCCCUGGUGAUGAUAAAAGGUAUCUGUGUUGACCCUGUCACCAAUGAGAUGGUUGGGUGAAGGGCUGUGAGUUAUCAGGAGGGGCCUGGAUGCCCUCACCAGGGGGGUGAUGGGGUCUGGCCAAAACAAGGUCUGUGGUGGGGUUGAUGCAGGCAUCAGCUUAAGUCAGGGGAGAGGCAGUGACAUCAUUAAAAAGGGGCAGACUAAGGAUGAUGUCAUCAGAGGGGUCCUCACCUUAUUCCAUUUUUGAGGGAAUAGGAAAAUGGUGUGUUAUUGUGCUAGUUCCCCUUACGGGAGCGAUUAUAGGUGCCAUGGGACCCCAGAAAACAACUGAAAUGCAGCCAUUGUAGUACUUGGCCCUCAAGAUGAUGGAUCCUGGAAGAUGAUGAUACAUGGUUGAAGUGGAUCCUAGUAAAUGAUGACAUAUUUGGGUGUCAUGGAUCCUAGGAGAUGAUGAUGCUAUGGUCAUGGUGGGUCCUGGGAGAUGAUGACACCAUGGUUGAAAUGGAUCCUGGGGGGUCAUGACCCCAUUAGCUCUCAUGGAUCCUGGGAGGUGAUGACACCAUGGCUGGAGUCGGUCCGGGGAGGUGAUAACCCCAUGGUUGAAAUGGGUCCUGGGAGGUGAUGAUAGCAUUGGCUUUCAUGGGUCCUAGGAAGUGAUGACACCACAGUUAUCAGGGACUAUGGGAAAU
This is a long non-coding RNA of Acinonyx jubatus (cheetah), 4159 nucleotides long. RefSeq lists it as uncharacterized. Lineage: Eukaryota; Metazoa; Chordata; Mammalia; Carnivora; Felidae. The transcript is spliced from 3 exons. The record is from RefSeq and is a predicted model, not a curated record.